This is a long non-coding RNA of Cucumis sativus (cucumber), 976 nucleotides long. RefSeq lists it as uncharacterized. The transcript has 2 exons. Lineage: Eukaryota; Viridiplantae; Streptophyta; Magnoliopsida; Cucurbitales; Cucurbitaceae. The record is from RefSeq and is a predicted model, not a curated record.
UGUUCCAAUAAAUUAUCAUUGCUCAUCCCCAUCCUUAUGAGAACACCUCCGUCCUUCGUCUCAUAAAGUUGAAGUUUGCAACUUUAUGAGAAAGUUGACCAAGCUAACAUUACGGCAAGUCAUCUUCAACCUUCUUUUAAAGUUUACUUCUUGUAAAAACCUCUUGGAGAAGGCAACGUUAUGAGAAAUUCAACUUUAACCUUACGAGAAGGUUAACUUCUUUUUUUGCCAACCAAUCUCAUCUAAUACUACAACUUAUUUUUCUUGAUCAACUAUGUAAGGUCUCACCUUCGCUCUUUGGAACCAUAUGUUCCUUAUGCCAUUAUACAUUCAAUAUAUAGCUAGUACUAUGCCAAUUCUCGAGGGCCAUAGGCACUCCUCAGUCCAUCCCAACGCUAUUCCCCCGUCGUGCACUAUCUCAUGGAUCCCUUGUGCCACACCAACUUUGUGGUGAUGCUACUCCUCAACACGGCAAUAGUGAUUCGAGUUACUUUAAGGGAUCAAUGAUGCAUAGUCAGAGUUCUAUCUAUGAUCAUGAUAGCAAAAGCUCAAGGAGCAUUGAAACUAAACACCGAAAUGCCCAUCGUUCAGGGUUCAGGCCCUUUGGAUUACAGUUCUAGCCGGAAAGUGAAAUAUGUUGAAGGUUCAACUUCAGGCAGCUCAGGUCUUAGUCACUUCCAAGGUUUGCUGUCUCAAGGUCUAGACCGCUAGCAUACGAGUAAAUGUUUGGCCAAUCUUCUUCAAACUAAAACAUCUUUCUUUCUCUUUAAUGAAGAGUUUUGAUAAUGGUAAGCGGGAAAAGUUAUUAUUACAAUGAACUGUUCCAAAAUAAAGCAGCUGCAACAUUUCUGCUCCACAUUCAAAUUCAAUUCAAAGUAAGAAUGAUGUGAAGCCAUCCAUUUUUUAUAUUUGAAAGAGUAUUUGUGAAACCACUCGUUGUAAAAUGUUUAUAAUAUAAAGGGCAAUAGAUUGACCA